RNAcentral lists this ribosomal RNA (433 nucleotides) under uncultured bacterium. RNAcentral describes it as "partial 16S ribosomal RNA". It matches the Rfam family "Bacterial small subunit ribosomal RNA", at positions 29 to 507 of the family's 1533-position model. The record is from RNAcentral.
AACGAACGCUGGCGGCAUGCCUAACACAUGCAAGUCGAACGAGACCUUCGGGUCUAGUGGCGCACGGGUGCGUAACGCGUGGGAACCUGCCCUUAGGUUCGGAAUAACUCCCCGAAAGGGGUGCUAAUACCGGAUAAUGUCUUCGGACCAAAGAUUUAUCGCCCUUGGAUGGGCCCGCGUUGGAUUAGCUAGUUGGUAGGGUAAAAGCCUACCAAGGCGACGAUCCAUAGCUGGUAUGAGAGGAUGAUCAGCCACACUGGGACUGAGACACGGCCCAGACUCCUACGGGAGGCAGCAGUGGGGGAUAUUGGACAAUGGGCGAAGGCCUGAUCCAGCAAUGCCGCGUGAGUGAUGAAGGCCUUAGGGUUGUAAAGCUCUUUUACCCGGGAUGAUAAUGACAGUACCGAGAGAAUAAGCUCCGGCUAACUCCGUG